This 31-nucleotide non-coding RNA is filed under the name Homo sapiens (human). Lineage: Eukaryota; Metazoa; Chordata; Mammalia; Primates; Hominidae. The record is from RNAcentral.
GGCCGGUUAGCUCAGUUGGUAAGAGCUUGGU